UACGGAGGGUGCGAGCGUUGUUCGGAAUCACUGGGCGUAAAGGGCGUGUAGGCGGUCCGCUAAGUCUGAUGUGAAAGCCCGGGGCUCACCCCCGGAAGGGCAUUGGAAACUGACGGACUCGAGUCCCGAAGAGGAGGGUGGAAUUCCUGGUGUAGCGGUGAAAUGCGUAGAUAUCAGGAGGAACACCGGUGGCGAAGGCGGCCCUCUGGACGGUGACUGACGCUGAGACGCGAAAGCGUGGGGAGCAAACAGG
RNAcentral lists this ribosomal RNA (253 nucleotides) under uncultured bacterium. Its description in RNAcentral is "partial 16S ribosomal RNA". It matches the Rfam family "Bacterial small subunit ribosomal RNA", at positions 524 to 776 of the family's 1533-position model. The record is from RNAcentral.